Molecule: unclassified non-coding RNA, 338 nt
Filed under: soil metagenome
Description: partial contains 5.8S ribosomal RNA, internal transcribed spacer 2, and large subunit ribosomal RNA
Rfam family: 5.8S ribosomal RNA (bases 1-120)
Source: RNAcentral
GAUGAAGAACGUAGCGAAAUGCGAUAAGUAGUGUGAAUUGCAGAAUUCAGUGAAUCAUCGAAUCUUUGAACGCACAUUGCGCCCCUUGGUAUUCCAUGGGGCAUGCCUGUUCGAGCGUCAUCUACACCCCCAAGCUCUGCUUGGUGUUGGGCGUCUGUCCCGCCCCCGCGCGUGGACUCGCCCCAAAUCCAUUGGCAGCGUUCCUUGCCCCCUCUCGCGCAGCACAUUGCGCUUCUCGAGGGCGGCUCCGGGACGCGAUCCAGCAAGAUGACCACCGUCUUUGACCUCGGAUCAGGUAGGGAUACCCGCUGAACUUAAGCAUAUCAAUAAGCGGAGGA